RNAcentral lists this small RNA (163 nucleotides) under Arabidopsis thaliana (thale cress). RNAcentral's name for it is "ATSL030160". Lineage: Eukaryota; Viridiplantae; Streptophyta; Magnoliopsida; Brassicales; Brassicaceae. The record is from RNAcentral.
UUAAUACUAAAUAGGAUAUAGAUUUGAUAUGUCAUAAAUAUUAUUUUGAUAUAAAAAUGUUAUCACUCAAUAUGAAGUUGUAGAAUUUAAAUCGAGUUUAUUAUGAUGACAUAGAUAGUUAAACUGUAUUACAAAAUUGAAUGGUGUAAGAUACAAAUUUGUU